This 248-nucleotide long non-coding RNA is filed under the name Lathyrus oleraceus (garden pea). RNAcentral's name for it is "Pisum sativum (pea) long non-coding RNA (PSAT_LNC014171)". Lineage: Eukaryota; Viridiplantae; Streptophyta; Magnoliopsida; Fabales; Fabaceae. The record is from RNAcentral.
AAAUAACUAAAUAAAAUUAAUUAAAUAAAUAAAUAAAAUAUAACAAAUUUUUUUGGACUUGGGUUUCCCUCAUUUGAGCCCACUACCCACGAAAAUCAGUCUAUAAAUACUUAAGUUUCAGUAGAGGAAAACACAUUUGGAGUUACACUGGGAGAUUCACUUGAGAAAAAGGGAGGGAAGCAAAAUACUCUGAGGUUUCCUUGGAACAAAACCCUGAGGAAAAAGAUAGUGAGAGAAGAACUAACAGA